AACGAACGCUGGCGGCAUGCCUAACACAUGCAAGUCGAACGAUGCCUUCGGGCAUAGUGGCGCACGGGUGCGUAACGCGUGGGAAUCUGCCCUUGGGUUCGGAAUAACUCAGAGAAAUUUGAGCUAAAUACCGGAUGAUGACGUAAGUCCAAAGAUUUAUCGCCCAAGGAUGAGCCCGCGUAAGAUUAGCUAGUUGGUGGGGUAAAGGCCUACCAAGGCGACGAUCUUUAGCUGGUCUGAGAGGAUGAUCAGCCACACUGGGACUGAGACACGGCCCCAGACUCCUACGGGAGGCAGCAGUGGGGAAUAUUGGACAAUGGGCGAAAGCCUGAUCCAGCAAUGCCGCGUGAGUGAUGAAGGCCUUAGGGUUGUAAAGCUCUUUUACCAGGGAUGAUAAUGACAGUACCUGGAGAAUAAGCUCCGGCUAACUCCGUGCCAGCAGCCGCGGUAAU
Molecule: ribosomal RNA, 452 nt
Filed under: uncultured bacterium
Lineage: Bacteria
Description: bacterial SSU rRNA
Rfam family: Bacterial small subunit ribosomal RNA
Source: RNAcentral